This 255-nucleotide ribosomal RNA is filed under the name uncultured bacterium. RNAcentral's name for it is "partial 16S ribosomal RNA". It matches the Rfam family "Bacterial small subunit ribosomal RNA", at positions 524 to 777 of the family's 1533-position model. The record is from RNAcentral.
UACGAAGGGGGCUAGCGUUGCUCGGAAUCACUGGGCGUAAAGCGCACGUAGGCGGAUCUUUAAGUCAGGGGUGAAAUCCCAAGGCUCAACCUUGGAACUGCCUUUGAUACUGGGGGAUCUCGAGUCCGGAAGAGGUUGGUGGAACUGCGAGUGUAGAGGUGAAAUUCGUAGAUAUUCGCAAGAACACCAGUGGCGAAGGCGGCCAACUGGUCCGGAACUGACGCUGAGGUGCGAAAGCGUGGGGAGCAAACAGGG